RNAcentral lists this ribosomal RNA (466 nucleotides) under uncultured bacterium. Its description in RNAcentral is "partial 16S ribosomal RNA". It matches the Rfam family "Bacterial small subunit ribosomal RNA", at positions 28 to 507 of the family's 1533-position model. The record is from RNAcentral.
GAUGAACGCUAGCGGCGUGCUUAACACAUGCAAGUCGAACGAUGAAGCCCAGCUUGCUGGGUGGAUUAGUGGCGAACGGGUGAGUAACACGUGAGUAACCUGCCCUUAACUCUGGGAUAAGCCUGGGAAACUGGGUCUAAUACCGGAUAGGAGCGCCUACCGCAUGGUGGGUGUUGGAAAGAUUUAUCGGUUUUGGAUGGACUCGCGGCCUAUCAGCUUGUUGGUGAGGUAAUGGCUCACCAAGGCGACGACGGGUAGCCGGCCUGAGAGGGUGACCGGCCACACUGGGACUGAGACACGGCCCAGACUCCUACGGGAGGCAGCAGUGGGGAAUAUUGCACAAUGGGCGAAAGCCUGAUGCAGCGACGCCGCGUGAGGGAUGACGGCCUUCGGGUUGUAAACCUCUUUCAGUAGGGAAGAAGCGAAAGUGACGGUACCUGCAGAAGAAGCACCGGCUAACUACGUG